CUACCCGCUGACGAGCGGCGGACGGGUGAGUAAUGCAUAGGAAACUGCCCAGUAGUGGGGGAUAGCCCGGGGAAACCCGGAUUAAUACCGCAUACGUCCUUCGGGAGAAAGCAGGGGCUCUUCGGACCUUGCGCUAUUGGAUGUGCCUAUGUCGGAUUAGCUAGUUGGUGGGGUAAAGGCCUACCAAGGCGACGAUCCGUAGCUGGUCUGAGAGGAUGAUCAGCCACAUCGGGACUGAGACACGGCCCGAACUCCUACGGGAGGCAGCAGUGGGGAAUAUUGGACAAUGGGGGCAACCCUGAUCCAGCCAUGCCGCGUGUGUGAAGAAGGCUUUCGGGUUGUAAAGCACUUUCAGUGAGGAGGAAAACCUUAUGGUUAAUACCCAUGAGGCUUGACGUUACUCACAGAAGAAGCACCGGCUAACUCCGUGCCAGCAGCCGCGGUAAUACGGAGGGUGCAAGCGUUAAUCGGAAUUACUGGGCGUAAAGCGCGCGUAGGUGGUUUGAUAAGCGAGAUGU
RNAcentral lists this ribosomal RNA (518 nucleotides) under marine sediment bacterium BB0608_2216_4.2_4G0. Its description in RNAcentral is "bacterial SSU rRNA". It matches the Rfam family "Bacterial small subunit ribosomal RNA", at positions 80 to 595 of the family's 1533-position model. The record is from RNAcentral.